UUGAGAGAAGAUUGUUUCUGGUGAGAAGAUAAAAGAGCUUCCUUAAAAAAAUAUGGAAACACAGGAGGAUUGCUCGAUUCGAAGGGGCCAACUGGUGCAACGAUAUCCAAAUGAUUAUAAAAACGACGGACAUGCUCCACUUUCAAUGAUGAUGAGCCAAGCACAGUAUAUGAAUACUGGAAGAGCUACUGUGCGCAUAGCAGUAUACCUAAUGACCGGAAUAUUUGUAACAAUGGAAGUUGAGCAAAGUUCGACCGCACAACAAAUUUUAACUAUAGUACAAACGGAAGGAGAAUUAGGAUUGGCAAGAGCUCCGCCUUUAAUCGGACAGCCAGUAUUUGCUUUAUGGCUAUGCUCAUCUCAAUUGGAGAUUCAAUUAAGACCAAAUCACAAGCCAAUAGAAUUAGCCGCCAAAUGGAACCGUUUAGUUAAAAAAUAUGGUUCGCAAAGAGAUGGAACCGACGAGGAACCUUUAUUAUAUUUUCGUAGGAAUGUGUUUCUUUCUAGAUACGACGAAGAGCAAAUAAAGGAGGCUAAAGUACUUGAACUGUUGUAUGCAGAAGCAAGGCAUAAUGUUUUACAAGGUAGAUAUCCAUGCGAAGGGCAAGCACGAUAUGCAAGCUUAGGAGCAUUACAAGCACGUAUUGAAAUAGGCCCGUAUAACUCACAAACACACACAUUGGCAUUUUUUAGAAGGCACCGAGGAAAAUUUUUACCACAUCAUUACACAUCACCGAGUCUUUUAUUAGGAUUAGGACUUGGAUUAGGUUUGGUGGGAGGUAAAGGAGCACCAGAAGCACGCCUUUUGGAACAAUAUAAACGAAUACCUAAUCAUACUGGGGCGAAUACAAAUCCAAGAAAACUUAUUAGGAAGUAUCUUGAAUUUUGUUGGGGUCUACCUUGUUAUGGUGCUGCCUUCUUUCAAGGACAAAUUGAACGUCCUGUGAGAGGACUAGCAUCAUGGAUUACGAAUCGUGACCUACAAGUUUUGAUUGCUAUUAAUACCUCGGGAGUAUACAUCGUUGAUGAUAUGCAAUGUAGUCUUCUAUUAGGAUUGAAAUACUCGGAAUUAAGUUGGGAAAUGGCAAAACCUUCUGACGAAAGAAACCCCGAUUGUCUGCCCUGUUUGUUUCUACAAUUUCCUGUUAGAGAAAAUGGUGCACGCGUUUAUAAAAUUCUACAAGUAUUCUCGAGACAAGCAAUAAUGAUGGACACUUUAAUUUCUGGUUUUGCCGAGGAAAAUCGCAAUCACAGUUCUCACAAUGAUGGUACAAAUAGCGAACGUCAAUUGGAUCAUUCUGCAACUACUACCUACAGUACUGGUAGUUUCACGAAUAAACUUAGCAAAUUUACUUUGGCAACGUUUGAUGAUGAAGGUCGAUGCAUCGGGCAAAUGGGUUCUUGGUCUUUCCAAUAGUCUUCACUUUGAAAUAAUGCGACAAGUGACACAUACGCACGCAUGCCGGAGCAGCCACGUGCGCACGCAUCCACGCACGCACGACGCACGCACGACGCACGCACGCACACGAAAAGACAAAGUAACAUUUAUCUAUAUAAAUAUAAAAGUUCCUUAUUGUUUUUAACUUACUGUUAAUAUAAUUACUGUUACUUGUAGAGACUGGAAAGGCGUUCGUCUUCCUGUAAAAGCUCUACUAGCAUUUUAUAUCGUAUAGGAACUAAAUUCUUAUGACGUUCUAACUUUAUAUCCAACAACUGCAGAUUAAAGAUAUGCUUGAGCUUUACUUAUCUGCUUUGGAUUUCCUAUUCGUGCCAAGUAUGGAGCCAAGUGAUCAGGAGGUUUUGCAAUGUCUUGCGAAGAAGAUACCGUUGUUGUAGCCUGCAUAAAAUUUAGAUGAGUAUUUUUUAUAUACCAAUAAUAUAUGAGACAUAUUGAUGGGAAUACCUUUAUGGAUUUUCUCGUAUCAAUUCUAUUUCUGUCGAACGAAGAAAUCAUUAAAUUUGGACUUAAAUAUUCGCUCGUUCGUCUUUUUAUAAAUAAAGAAAUUUCACUUUCGGCAUCUCUGAUAUUAGAUACACAUUGGUCUUCCUCCUUUAAUAAUUUUUCUAUUUCAUAAAAUAGAUGUAAGCUUUUUUCAGGCGGUGACAUAAUAUCCGACUGCACAACAAAAAAAUGAAUAGUACCAAUUUUAUUAGCGAUUAUUGAAAAGAAUAUGAUUUGGGGAGCGAUCGUUAACGUAAACGUUAACGUUAAAGAUAAUAAUUACGUUGUACUCUUGAAUGAUAGCGGUAUGAAUAUUAAGAUGUUCUCCUGUUUCUGGCUUCUUAUAUACCCGUAUAGCUCUUGUGAUUCUUUCAUCUUCAUAAUGAAAUUUCAGAUGUAUCUCUUUUUCCGUUAAAACAAAUUCACGUACAGCAAUAUCUCUAGAUGCCGGUAGUACUUCAUUUCUAUGAUAUUUUUCAGUUAUCGUCUAAACAAAUAAAUGUUUAAGUAGAUCAUUUUUCAAGAACAUAUUAUUAUCCAUUAUCAGACAUAAAAACUUACUUGAAUAUAACGAUAAUGUAUUCCUUCUAUUGUAGAUUCAUCUUUAUACGGCGAGAACUCGGCGUUCCUGAGUACCACAAAAUAUUGACUAUUAUAUUUUCAAAUGUUAGAAUCAUUGCUUACCAAGAUAGAAUGUGGCCUUACCUGUAGUACAGGAGAUCUUCACGAUUAACAUAAUAUUGUGUUAAACGGAAAGGAUACAUAUGGAUUUCUGAUAAUCCAUCAAGACGAACCAUGUCAUAGAAACAUAAUACUCUUUCGCUAAAUACGAAUGAACUAUUGUCGUGAUUAUAAUAGCGAUGUUCUAAAAAUUCUCUAUUAAUUAGAAAAUAUUAUGGAGUUGAAAGAAAAUCUAUUUAGGUAUCAAUUACCUUUACAUGCAUCAGAGCGACCCCUUUCAUAGUAAUCGAUAAUAUAAUUGGUAUUCAAGUUUCUUCGUGAUUUUACUAAAUUAUCGUUCCUAUUAGCAUAUUUUUCAUAAAUUUCAAUCGGAGUUGUAUACUCAUAAUCAUCAUAUAUUGUUAGUUUUUCUAUUAUUCCAUCUGAUUGCGUAUAAGGAGCAUACAAAUCUACUUUAACUUUCUUGUAAAAUAUUGUCUUAUGACCUCGAGGAUAUCGCCUCUCAAAAUCUAUAAACGGAGCAACUUUGUAUUAUAUUGUGUUGUUGGAGAGAAAAAAAAAGGAUACAAAUCUCCAUAAGAAAGUAAUGAAACAAAUCGCAUAUAAAAUCAUAAAAAUAUUAUAGGGUCAAUCGAUAUAAUUACCUAAACUAUUUAUGUAUAUUUCAUUUACAUAAGAGGAGGGCAUAUCUAAGUGUUUCUCCCGCUCUAUCUCAAUAUUUAAUUCUUCGUUUAGAUCAUCCUCAACGUCACGCAUAAUCCAUGAUUCGCCAGGAAGUAGAUGCUCCCAUAGCUCCGUUAGAGUUAAAUUCCAAUUUAUUUUGUCACAACCAAUCGUCAAAUCCUGCUGCAUAUUUAUCCAAUAAUUUUCAUCAUUCCAGAUACUUUCUACACCUAGGUAUAAAAGAUUAGUUUGAGGAUCGAGCAGAUCAUACAUUUCUCCGGAGGAGGGCUCGAUAAAGAAUGGAUUUGUAACUUGUCUUUCUUUCAUAUUAUUAAGAGCAGGUAAGACGACGACCCAUGCAUGAACUCUAUGUCCAUAAUAUUUAUCUGGUGGUGGUUUUUCCAAUUCCUAAACAUCAUGCUAAAUAUAGAACUGUUAUUACGCAUUUUUUCUAUCGAAAAAAAAAAAAAAAAAAAAAAAAAGAAAAGAAAAAAAAAUACAUACAAUUAUAAUUCUAGCUUGCUUUUCUUCUUCCUCUUGAACUUCAGUUUCCAAUUUAAGCUUUUCUCUGGCAUCCAGUUUCAAUAAAAAUUUGCUUCUAAAAUCCGCAGGAGGUUUCAAAUUAUAUAUUAAAUUAACAUCUUCUUCUUUCGACAGUUUUAAUUCUUUCAAAUCUUCCGGUAAAUACGGGCAGGAGAUUUUGGUCCUAUUGUAUUGAACUUGUUCGCGGGAUGCAUAGCCAAAAACUACAAAUGCAUUAUAUCCUUGUCCUAAUAGGAGACUCGUCAAGAACGUUGCACACUCGAAACUAUUACCGCUGCGAAAAUUGAUUAACCACGAUGGGGAGCGUAGGAUUGCUGGCUGAGAAAUAAUAAAUUAAUGAAGAAU
Molecule: unclassified non-coding RNA, 4174 nt
Organism: Vespa mandarinia (Asian giant hornet)
Lineage: Eukaryota; Metazoa; Arthropoda; Insecta; Hymenoptera; Vespidae
Source: RefSeq, a predicted model, not a curated record